RNAcentral lists this ribosomal RNA (254 nucleotides) under uncultured bacterium. RNAcentral describes it as "partial 16S ribosomal RNA". It matches the Rfam family "Bacterial small subunit ribosomal RNA", at positions 524 to 777 of the family's 1533-position model. The record is from RNAcentral.
UACGAAGGGGGCUAGCGUUGCUCGGAAUCACUGGGCGUAAAGGGCGCGUAGGCGGCCAUUCAAGUCAGAGGUGAAAGCCCAAGGCUCAACCUUGGAAUUGCCCUUGAUACUGUUUGGCUUGAGACCGGAAGAGGUUAGUGGAACUGCGAGUGUAGAGGUGAAAUUCGUAGAUAUUCGCAAGAACACCAGUGGCGAAGGCGGCUCACUGGCCCGGUACUGACGCUGAGGUGCGAAAGCGUGGGGAGCAAACAGGG